GGCGGGAGUGCUUAGCUGAGCAGGCCCUCCACAGGGGUGAGUUCCUUUUCCGGAGUUCCACGUCAGAAAGAGACGCCUGUGGACAGCGCUGACAUGAUUCGUGUUGCCCAGGAUGGACUCAGGCAGUAUAUAUCCAGCCUGAUAAAGCUGGCUGUGAGUUUCCUCCGGCCCCUGGGAAGUGGCAUCUGAGGAGGGACGUGCUGUCGCAUGAGCGUGGACAAUAUAAUCUCCCCCAGACUGUGAACCACAGGAUGCCUGGGGAGCAGCCUGUACCGGCUGAGAAGCACACCGCUGGACACAGUGAUGGGCAGAACUGGAACAGAUCCUGCCGUCUUGGAGGAUACAGUGUGUUGGGUUUGUGGAGCAUUUUGUUUGUGGAGCCUACCUAUGGCCGUGUGGUAGGUAGAAGCAGAGGUGGCCCUCUCUCAGGGCUAGUCAUCGGCUCUCGCACCCUCCUCCCCACUUCCUCACGUCCCACUCGGCUCUCGCGCCCUCCUCCCCACCUCCUCACAUCCCUCUGUGGGCUGCCGGGGCAGCAGGUCCGUCUUUCCCCUCUGAGUUGGCUCCAGGGGGUGACCUGA
This 581-nucleotide long non-coding RNA is filed under the name Bos indicus x Bos taurus (hybrid cattle). Its description in RNAcentral is "lncRNA (ENSBIXG00000007267.1)". Lineage: Eukaryota; Metazoa; Chordata; Mammalia; Artiodactyla; Bovidae. The record is from RNAcentral.